CCAAACUCUAUCUCUUUCUUCCA
RNAcentral lists this microRNA (23 nucleotides) under Ananas comosus (pineapple). RNAcentral describes it as "microRNA s0712_c93a". Lineage: Eukaryota; Viridiplantae; Streptophyta; Magnoliopsida; Poales; Bromeliaceae. The record is from RNAcentral.